GCGGCGAGCGAACGGGGAGGAGCCCAGAGCCUGAAUCAGUGUGUGUGUUAGUGGAAGCGUCUGGAAAGGCGUGCGAUACAGGGUGACAGCCCCGUACACAAAAAUGCACAUAUUGUGAGCUCGAUGAGUAGGGCGGGACACGUGGUAUCCUGUCUGAAUAUGGGGGGACCAUCCUCCAAGGCUAAAUACUCCUGACUGACCGAUAGUGAACCAGUACCGUGAGGGAAAGGCGAAAAGAACCCCGGCGAGGGGAGUGAAAAAGAACCUGAAACCGUGUACGUACAAGCAGUGGGAGCCUCUUAAUGGGGUGACUGCGUACCUUUUGUAUAAUGGGUCAGCGACUUAUAUUCUGUAGCAAGGUUAACCGAAUAGGGGAGCCGAAGGGAAACCGAGUCUUAACUGGGCGUUAAGUUGCAGGGUAUAGACCCGAAACCCGGUGAUCUAGCCAUGGGCAGGUUGAAGGUUGGGUAACACUAACUGGAGGACCGAACCGACUAAUGUUGAAAAAUUAGCGGAUGACUUGUGGCUGGGGGUGAAAGGCCAAUCAAACCGGGAGAUAGCUGGUUCUCCCCGAAAGCUAUUUAGGUAGC
RNAcentral lists this ribosomal RNA (590 nucleotides) under Escherichia coli. RNAcentral's name for it is "partial 23S ribosomal RNA". It matches the Rfam family "Bacterial large subunit ribosomal RNA", at positions 246 to 878 of the family's 2925-position model. The record is from RNAcentral. Lineage: Bacteria; Pseudomonadati; Pseudomonadota; Gammaproteobacteria; Enterobacterales; Enterobacteriaceae.